GUAGAAACCUCUAUUUUUAAAAGCAAUAUUUUGAAGAUUAGUUUUAGAAAUGCUAGUCCAACUUUAGCAAAUUGGUCUGGAAUUGACAAGUACGAGAAAUGAAAUAACAAACUAUAGUACAGAACAAUCCUAAAAGCCAUUAAUUUUCAAUUACUGUAGCAUAUACGCAAACUGUUAAAAUAUGCAGAUAUGUGUCCAAUGUCAAAAUUGUUUAACGGCUCUCUAUUAGUGCAAUUGAACUCGUAUUGUAUUUCCACUCUUGUAUUCAUUAUGAUGUCCAAAUAAAUUAAAAAAUUUCAUCAAAGUCCAUUUUCAAGGAGAACGCCUGGAGAAGAAAUGUGUUUAUUACACUGACAUGGAGGAGAAAGGCAGCAUAUCCGCAACUAUAUACACGAAUAUAAGUUUCAUAAUGGACCAAGUAAAGCUUUAAUAUUUCGACGAGAAAAUGAACAAUAUUACCCCUCAAUUGAAAUGUUAAACGAAAUAGGAACUACAGAUCAAGUCUUUGGGCUCAAGUAACGAAAAUGUUAAAAGUUGAACUUACAGGAACCGUUGGUUGAGGAAAUGUUAACGACACCUGGGAAAAUACCAAACGAAAUGUACGAACUAGAAAAUACAUAUCCAGGAUCUGAAACCACAUUUAUUUUGGGAAGAGGUGCAUCAGCUGUGAGCGAGCAAACGCUAUCAGCAUUCACAGGAAUAGUCGAUAUCAAUGAACCAAAAUGAAAAAGAAGAAUUAAAAUAAGCAGCUAAACGAAAAAGAUGUUGAGUUCAAUGAAGCGGAUCGUCCUUUAUUAGGUACUUUUGCACGAAAAGAUUCUUCAACAUCUGCCUGCUGCCGAAAUUGAAAAAUACUUUGGCCAAUGAUCGAACUUGCAAGCAGUACUGUUGAAAAAGUUUUAAGAAUUGAUAUGAGACCAUUGAAAUGAAUGGUGUAACCUGAGUACAAGGAAAAGGGAUAUAAAGAUUAACUGUGCUAAACGGAACAAAAAUUAAAGAAAUGUGACAUUAGACGAAACUAGAUUUUAACCUUAAAAUAUCACGUGUCCUACAUAUGAAGAUCUGUCAAGGUUUCUAAGCUUCCUGUUGGUGUUUUAGCAGAAACUCUGAAUUAGCAAAUUUUUUUUCGUAAGAAAACAAGUGUUACAAAUUUCAAUUGUGCUAUUAUAAAUUUGGUCAAUUAAUUGAGAUGUGACAUAACCUUCAAAUAUGGUAUAUGACCUCACCUGGUUUUACCGGCGUGACCGCUGUUGAGGUUUGGCCAAAGGCAAACGACGGAGCCGCAGCGGGGGUGGACGUACCAAAACCCGUGCCAAAAGACAUGCUUACACUCUUAUAAGAUACAACAAUCAACUAAAAACAUUCAGAUUCCCGCGGCCGUUUAUAAAUAAUCUAAAUCAACCUAAAUAAUGAAACAAAUCCGUAAUUUAUCGCCCACCAGAUGUCACCAGUUCACUAGUAUUUUAAAUUUCUUUCGUGAAUUUUUUCCUUUUUGCAUGAAUUGUCAGAGAAUUAUUAAGGAAUAAUGAUAAAUACUCAUACAUAAAAUAAUUGAAAAUCUGUUUCUAUUACUCUAUUUUUAGCAUUUACUAUAAUGAAAAAGCAGCAUGAUGCUUUACGACAUUUCACAAUAGUGCAAUUAUCCAAAUGAAAUAUUUAUGAAAUAAAGGUUACGUAUCCUUUUUGAAGCCUACAUAAUAAAAAUAAAUCAAAAA
This is a long non-coding RNA of Belonocnema kinseyi, 1715 nucleotides long. RefSeq lists it as uncharacterized. The transcript has 4 exons. NCBI's taxonomy places the organism in Eukaryota, Metazoa, Arthropoda, Insecta, Hymenoptera, Cynipidae. The record is from RefSeq and is a predicted model, not a curated record.